This 461-nucleotide ribosomal RNA is filed under the name uncultured bacterium. Its description in RNAcentral is "bacterial SSU rRNA". It matches the Rfam family "Bacterial small subunit ribosomal RNA", at positions 1 to 507 of the family's 1533-position model. The record is from RNAcentral.
UACGAUACGAGUUUGAUCAUGGCUCAGAACGAACGCUGGCGGCAUGCCUAACACAUGCAAGUCGAACGAAGGCUUCGGCCUUAGUGGCGCACGGGUGCGUAACGCGUGGGAAUCUGCCCCUCGGUUCGGAAUAACAGUUAGAAAUGACUGCUAAUACCGGAUGAUGACGUAAGUCCAAAGAUUUAUCGCCGAGGGAUGAGCCCGCGUAGGAUUAGCUUGUUGGUGGGGUAAUGGCCCACCAAGGCGACGAUCCUUAGCUGGUCUGAGAGGAUGAUCAGCCACGACUGGGACUGAGACACGGCCCAGACUCCUACGGGAGGCAGCAGUGGGGAAUAUUGGACAAUGGGCGAAAGCCUGAUCCAGCAAUGCCGCGUGAGUGAUGAAGGCCUUAGGGUUGUAAAGCUCUUUUACCCGGGAUGAUAAUGACAGUACCGGGAGAAUAAGCUCCGGCUAACUCCGUG